RNAcentral lists this ribosomal RNA (786 nucleotides) under uncultured bacterium. Its description in RNAcentral is "bacterial SSU rRNA". It matches the Rfam family "Bacterial small subunit ribosomal RNA", at positions 623 to 1411 of the family's 1533-position model. The record is from RNAcentral.
GCCUUUGAUACUGGUUAUCUUGAGUUGUAUUGAAGUAGGCGGAAUAUGUAGUGUAGCGGUGAAAUGCAUAGAUAUUACAUAGAACACCAAUUGCGAAGGCAGCUUACUAAGUACUAACUGACGCUGAUGGACGAAAGCGUGGGUAGCGAACAGGAUUAGAUACCCUGGUAGUCCACGCCGUAAACGAUGGAUACUAGCUGUUCGGGGCCUUGAGCUCUGAGCGGCUAAGCGAAAGUGAUAAGUAUCCCACCUGGGGAGUACGUUCGCAAGAAUGAAACUCAAAGGAAUUGACGGGGGCCCGCACAAGCGGUGGAGCAUGUGGUUUAAUUCGAUGAUACGCGAGGAACCUUACCAGGGCUUAAAUGUAGUCUGACAGCUUUAGAGAUAGAGUUUUCUUCGGACAGAUUACAAGGUGCUGCAUGGUUGUCGUCAGCUCGUGCCGUGAGGUGUCAGGUUAAGUCCUAUAACGAGCGCAACCCCUGUCGUUAGUUGCCAGCAUGUCAUGAUGGGGACUCUAACGAGACUGCCGGUGCAAACCGCGAGGAAGGUGGGGAUGACGUCAAAUCAUCACGGCCCUUACGUCCUGGGCCACACACGUGCUACAAUGGCCGGUACAGAGAGCAGCCACGUCGCAAGGCGGAGCGAAUCUAUAAAACCGGUCACAGUUCGGAUCGGAGUCUGCAACUCGACUUCGUGAAGCUGGAAUCGCUAGUAAUCGGAUAUCAGCCAUGAUCCGGUGAAUACGUUCCCGGGCCUUGUACACACCGCCCGUCAAGCCAUGGAAGC